UACGGGCAGCAGUGGGGAAUAUUGCACAAUGGGCGAAAGCCUGAUGCAGCUAUGCCGCGUGUAUGAAGAAGGCCUUAGGGUUGUAAAGUACUUUCAUCGGGGAGGAAAAAACAAAACUAAUAAUUUUAUUUCUUGACGUUACCCGAAAAAGAAGCACCGGCUAACUCCGUGCCAGCAGCCGCGGUAAUACGGAGGGUGCUAGCGUUAAUCAGAAUUACUGGGCGUAAAGAGCACGUAGGUGGUUUUUUUAAAGUCAGAUGUGAAAUCCCUGGGCUUAACCUAGGAACUGCAUUUUGAAACUGAAAUACUAGAGUAUCGUAGAGGGAGGUAGAAUUCUAGGUGUAGCGGUGAAAUGCGUAGAUAUCUGGAGGAAUACCUGUGGCGAAAGCGGCCUCCUAAACGAAUACUGACACUGAGGGUGCGAAAGCGUGGGGAGCAAACAGGGAUUAGAUACC
Molecule: ribosomal RNA, 455 nt
Filed under: uncultured bacterium
Lineage: Bacteria
Description: bacterial SSU rRNA
Rfam family: Bacterial small subunit ribosomal RNA
Source: RNAcentral